AAAUGGCAGCGGUUUGACUCCAAAGAAGCCAUUUCUUGUCCACAGGGCCCUCUGAUGAUGGCUGGAGAUCUGGUCCCAGGGCAGCUCUCUGCAUGAUGCUUUACUACACCGGCCCUGUCCAUGGUGCUGCUCCACAUUCUCCAGGACCGGGGACCCUCUGCAUCCAGCACCUAGCUGGGGAAAUAUGUGGACAUUAAGGCAGAAGAGAGUGACCAAACUGAACCCCAAAGUUCAAUCAAGAGUACUCAUCAUCCUUCCUCAUUAUAAUAAAUCUUGACCAGAAUAAUGGAG
Molecule: long non-coding RNA, 291 nt
Filed under: Capra hircus (goat)
Lineage: Eukaryota; Metazoa; Chordata; Mammalia; Artiodactyla; Bovidae
Description: lncRNA (ENSCHIG00000001559.1)
Source: RNAcentral